GGCAUAGAUAAAUUUUCCUUUGUAGUCAGAUGAACUUUGCUGCAACUCGUGAAGCAUACCAGAAGAAAGGUUGGGUAUGACAAACCCAGAUCAUAUCGAUCAGUGCAAGAGAGAGGGCUUCAUUGAGAGAGUAAAGGAGGAAAAUGGUGAAGGAUGCAACAUUGAUGGUUUUGUGGAAGUGAUCAAAGUUGUUGGAAAUUUUCACUUUGCCCCUGGACAAAGCUUCCAUGGAAUCUUUCAAUAUUUUGCAAGAUCUACUAGGCAUUCAGAAUGACAAUUAUAAUAUGAGCCACAAAAUAAACAAAUUAUCUUUUGGAAAGGAAUUCCCUGGUGUUAUAAAUCCACUUGAUGGUGUCAAGUGGAUGCACACAACUCACUUCUGGAAUUGAUUGAGAUGUUUCAGAUAUGCUUUUAAUUGCUACACCCGCAUCCCUUAAUGGCAGUGUUCUUUAUUGGGAUCCAUGUGUAAAUAUAUAGCUCAGUAAGGUGUGUUUAUAAAACCAAACUUUAUCAAUAAUAUAUAGUGGCGACUACAUGGUA
This is a long non-coding RNA of Zingiber officinale, 540 nucleotides long. RefSeq lists it as uncharacterized. NCBI's taxonomy places the organism in Eukaryota, Viridiplantae, Streptophyta, Magnoliopsida, Zingiberales, Zingiberaceae. The record is from RefSeq and is a predicted model, not a curated record. The transcript has 4 exons.